RNAcentral lists this long non-coding RNA (3517 nucleotides) under Homo sapiens (human). Its description in RNAcentral is "HSALNT0403429". The record is from RNAcentral. Lineage: Eukaryota; Metazoa; Chordata; Mammalia; Primates; Hominidae.
CAUGUCUCACCCGGCUGCCGUGCUGCCCACAGCCAGAAAGGCUGGUCUUACUCCUAUUGUGCCCCCACAACAGAACCAAGUUUAUUUCCAAGCAGCUGGUAAGCAGGGCUGAGAACGUGCUCCAGGCUACAAGCCUCCCAGCUGAGAAUGCAAGCCAACUCACAGUUUCUCAGGCAUCCCAUGGAGCCUGCAGAGGCAAUCCGCAUCCUUCAAAGGGUUUGUGGAUUCUUUCUGCUUUCCUGCUGUGACCUUCUUUUUCGCCGACUUCGAAUCAUAACUAAUGGGAAGGCCUUAGUAAGCUGAAAUAAUGAAAGCUGAUUUAUUUGGCCUUGGUCUAGGUUAGAUACUAAAUAUCCAGGCAAGAGAUCCCAGGGGCAAGGCAUAAACUAAAAAUUAAAAUGUGAAAUCAAAUGGCAGAAAAGAAUCCAGACAGUGUUCAUAAAGAGACUGUUUUUAUAUAAUCAUAGGACUAGAAAAAUGUAAUUUGGAAUAUUAGUUUUAUGCUUAUAUUUUCUCAAUCAUGUAAUUUUUUUAUUGCUCUUAGUUUUCUGUAAAGUCUGUUUGCAUCAAUAUAAUUCAAUUAUUUAAAACAUUUAAUGCAUAAUUAUUAUUAUAAAAAUAAUUUAAAGAUAGAGGUAAAUGGAAAACCGAGGAAUGUGUGUGGCAACUACCUUUAGAAUGUAAGUAUACAACCUUCAGGGGGAGCUAAACCACCAAUGAAACAAAAUUCUGCCUGAUCAUAUAUCACAGACAUAAAAAAGAUACAUCAUAAAAAUCCAUGUGCCAAUAAUGGCUUUGUAUUACCAUUUAAACCUUAUAAUUACCUAAAUGGAAACAUGUUUUAUUUCUGAAGCUGAAAAGACAAUUUUCCAUUUAAUAACCAUUUAUUCUCAGUCCAUGGUACACAAUAAUGCUUGCAUGAUUUGGAAACCGAAUUAAUCAGUUUUUCAGUUCCAGUAUAAUUAAAGGUGUUCAUAUCUGCUUUCAGUACACAAAGGGUCAUUAAACUAGAGAAAAAGGGAUAAAUAUUAACCUCACAGAUUACUUUUAUAGGUUCGGUGCCACUGUGAACCACCUCUAUAUUAUAAGUGUUCAUUAUACCAUUUCUUUUCAAUGAAUCCAUUCAAUACAUUAAGAUGUAAAUAAUGAACUGAUACCUAAAUUAACAACAAAACAUUAACUCCCAUUUUCCUCACUCUCGCCUUGCAUUAGUCCCUCAGCUGCUGAUGGAUCUAUGGAUAGUCUCAGACACACAUCUGCUUCUCUGACACAAAGGAUUAUGAUGAGGAAAUAAAAACACCUUAAUAUAGCCAAAAUCAUACAAUAAUAUUAUUAAGAAAUAAAAUUAAACCAAAUUUAAUAAACCAAUAAACUUCAAAAUAAAACCUCAUUGACCCUUAAGUAUUAAAAGGUGAUUUAUUCAAUUACCCAUAGUAUGUUAUUAACAUAGCUAUGACUUCUUUGUAUUUGUUAGAAAUUUUAUAUUAAGAAAUAUAUACAGUAGUUCCCAGUAGAAAUUUAUAUAAAAUACUCUAUUUUACAUAUGUAAUGAAAUCUAAGAUUUAAAAGAGAUUCUUUACUCUGGGGAAAAUAAUGGUGGAUUAAUUAAUUUGGUACUCUUUUAGGGCCUUUCUAAAUUAAAACUCCACAUUACAAUUUCCAAUGCAGCCCACAAACUUAAAUUUAUGAAGAAAUUUAACAAAUCUACUAAGAAAUAAAUUCAAAAUCUGUAAAAUAUGCAAUUUUAAUGUUAUUUAAAACUUUUAUUGCAAAUAUUCCUGUUAUUAGCAAAGUAGAAUCAAUGUAAUUCAGCCUAUUAAGAGAGUAAAUUAAAAAUCCACUUCAUACCCAUUAGGAUGGCUAUCAUAUAUUUAAAAAACAAAACAAACGGGUAUUUGUGAAGAGAGAGAAACUAGAACUUUCUGCCUUACUGGUGGGAAAGUAAAAUAGUGCUGCUGUGGAAAAUAGUAUAACAAUUUAAAACUAAACAUAAAAUUACCCUAUGACUCUGCAAUUCUACAUUUGAGUACAUACACAAAAUAAUUGAAACAGCAAUUCAGACAGCUUAUUUUGCAUCCAUGUUUAUAGAAUCCAAAUGUCCUUUGAUGAAUGAAUGGAUAAACAAAAUUUGGCAUUUAUACACAAUGCAAUGUUACUCAGCUUUAAAAAGAAAUGAAAUUCAAACACAUGCUAUAACAUAAUGAACCUUGAAUAUAUCAUGCUAAGUAAAAAAUAAUAAUAACCAGACACGACAGGACAAAUAUUGUAUGAUUCCACUUAAUGAGGUGCCUGCAGUAGUCAAAUUCAUAAAGAUGAAAAGUAGAACAGUGGUUACCAGGGCCUGGGAGAAUCAAUAAUGGGGAGUUAUUGAUUAGGGGAUACAGUUUCAGUUGAGGAAAAAGUUCUGAAGAUUUAUAAGGGUGGUUGAACAACAAUGUGAAUACGUUUAAUGGCACUGACUUGUACAUUUAAAAAUAGUUACAAGGAUAAAUUUUAUGUUUUCAAAAUUUAAAAAAAAGAUCUUAAUUGAUGCAGAAAAAUUAUCUGGCAAAUCCAAUAUCUAUUUCUCAAGUGUAAUUGUAUGCCUUUCAAAAAUAAUUCUGUGACUUUGUUGAAGGCUACGAGCCUACUGUGUGUGCCUAAUUUACUUUUCAUCUACUUGGGAAUACCACUUAACUUCAAGUUUCACCUUGGCUGGGCGCGGUGGCUCAUGCCUGUAAUCCCAGCACUUUGGGAGGCUGAGGCGGGUAGAUCACGAGGUCAGGAGGUCGAGACCAUCCUGGCCAACAUGGUGAAACUCUGUCUCUACUAAAAUACAAAAAAUUAGCCGGGCAUGGUGGUGCGCGCCUCUAGUCCCAGCUACUCGGGAGACUGAGGCAGGGGAAUCUCUUGAACCCAGGAGGCAGAGAUUGCAGUGAGCCGAGAUUGCGCCACUGUACUCCAGCCUCGCGACAGAGCAAGACUGUUGGGUCACGCCUGUAAUCCCAGCACUUUGGGAGGCCGAGGUGGGUGGAUCACCUGAGGUCAGGAGUUCGAGACCAGCCUCAACAUGGAGAAACUCCGUCUCUACUAAAAAUACAAAAAAAUUAGCCGGGCAUGGUAGUGCAUGCCUGUAAUCCCAGAUACUUGGGAGGCUGAGGCAGGAGAAUUGCUUCAACCUGGGAGGCGGAAGUUGCGUUGAGCUGAGAUCGUGCCAUUGCACUCCAGCCUCCAGCCUGGGCAACAAGAGCGAAACUCCGUCUCAAAAAAAAAAAAAAAAAAGAUUCACCUCAAUUACAAUUACCUUCUGGACCCUUCUCCCUUAACCUUUUUCUGUGACAAGAUGAAGAUUCAAUUGCUUUACUUUUAUUGUUGAUUUACUGACUGCUUUAUCAAAAAUUUAUCAAGAAUAUUGUAUUUGAUCAAACGCUUUCUGCAUGUGUUAUUUUUAAACGUGCUAAUAAAUUGAACUACCUCGAUCAAUUUAUAUACCUCAUUAUAUUUUCUUGAUUAUGUUUAGUAGUUUUAUUAUUAUUAU